GAAUAUUGGUCAAUGGACGCAAGUCUGAACCAGCCAUGCCGCGUGCAGGAUGACUGCCCUAUGGGUUGUAAACUGCUUUUGUACGGGAAAAAACCCUUGAUCGUGAUCGAGGCUGAUUGUACCGUAAGAAUAAGGAUCGGCUAACUCCGUGCCAGCAGCCGCGGUAAUACGGAGGAUCCAAGCGUUAUCCGGAUUUAUUGGGUUUAAAGGGUGCGUAGGCGGAAUAGUAAGUCAGUGGUGAAAGCCUGCAGCUUAACUGUAGAAUUGCCAUUGAUACUGCUAAUCUUGAGUACAUAUGAAGUGGGCGGAAUGUGUCAUGUAGCGGUAAAAUGCUUAGAUAUGACACAGAACACCGAUUGCGAAGGCAGCUCACUAAACUGUAACUGACGCUGAGGCACGAAAGCAUGGGGAGCAAAC
This 417-nucleotide ribosomal RNA is filed under the name uncultured bacterium. RNAcentral's name for it is "bacterial SSU rRNA". It matches the Rfam family "Bacterial small subunit ribosomal RNA", at positions 359 to 773 of the family's 1533-position model. The record is from RNAcentral.